Molecule: ribosomal RNA, 351 nt
Filed under: uncultured bacterium
Lineage: Bacteria
Description: bacterial SSU rRNA
Rfam family: Bacterial small subunit ribosomal RNA
Source: RNAcentral
GGGCCCGCACAAGCGGCGGAGCAUGCGGCUUAAUUCGAUGCAACGCGAAGAACCUUACCUAGGCUUGACAGUUGGGGAAAUCUGGCAGAGAUGCCAGGUCCGUAAGGGCCCCAAAACAGGUGGUGCAUGGCUGUCGUCAGCUCGUGUCGUGAGAUGUUGGGUUAAGUCCCGCAACGAGCGCAACCCUCGUCGUAUGUUGCCAGCGGAUAAUGCCGGGGACUCAUACGAGACUGCCGGGGUCAACUCGGAGGAAGGUGGGGACGACGUCAAGUCAUCAUGCCCCUUAUGUCUAGGGCUGCACGCAUGCUACAAUGGCCGGUACAGAGGGCUGCGAAACCGCAAGGUAGAGCG